Molecule: ribosomal RNA, 823 nt
Filed under: uncultured bacterium
Lineage: Bacteria
Description: bacterial SSU rRNA
Rfam family: Bacterial small subunit ribosomal RNA
Source: RNAcentral
AACGAACGCUGGCGGCAGGCCUAACACAUGUAAGUCGAGCGCUCACCUUCGGGUGGGAGCGGCGGACGGGUUAGUAACGCGUGGGAACAUACCCUUUUCUAUGGAAUAGCCUCGGGAAACUGAGAGUAAUACCAUAUACGCCCUUCGGGGGAAAGAUUUAUCGGAGAAGGAUUGGCCCGCGUUUGAUUAGAUAGUUGGUGGGGUAAUGGCCUACCAAGUCUACGAUCAAUAGCUGGUUUGAGAGGAUGAUCAGCAACACUGGGACUGAGACACGGCCCAGACUCCUACGGGAGGCAGCAGUGGGGAAUCUUAGACAAUGGGCGCAAGCCUGAUCUAGCCAUGCCGCGUGAGUGACGAAGGCCUUAGGGUCGUAAAGCUCUUUCGCCAGAGAUGAUAAUGACAGUAUCUGGUAAAGAAACCCCGGCUAACUCCGUGCCAGCAGCCGCGGUAAUACGGAGGGGGUUAGCGUUGUUCGGAAUUACUGGGCGUAAAGCGUACGUAGGCGGAUUGGAAAGUAGGGGGUGAAAUCCCAGGGCUCAACCCUGGAACUGCCUCCUAAACUAUCAGUCUAGAGUCCGAGAGAGGUGAGUGGAAUUCCAAGUGUAGAGGUGAAAUUCGUAGAUAUUUGGAGGAACACCAGUGGCGAAGGCGGCUCACUGGCUCGAUACUGACGCUGAGGUACGAAAGUGUGGGGAGCAAACAGGAUUAGAUACCCUGGUAGUCCACACCGUAAACGAUGAAUGCCAGACGUCAGGGGGCUUGCCCUUUGGUGUCACACCUAACGGAUUAAGCAUUCCGCCUGGGGAGUACGGUCGCAAGAUUA